UCUCUGUGUACAUCCCAGCAUCUGCACAUUCAGCAAUUCUAGAGAUUGAUCAACAGCGUUCACCAAAUAAUUGGAAUUAGAAACAGAGUUAACAAAAACGUUCACGAAAUAAUUUGAUCAAUGUCAAGGGCCCGAUUUCGGGUUUGUGGGGUUUGAUCAGCAUCUUCGUCACCAUUCUUGGCUAAAUCUUCUUCUUCAGUUGCUGCUGUUCAUUCCUUUUUGGGAUGUAUUCAUCCACAACAAAUUCUAGGCCAUCCUUGUUUGGCUCAUCUGGCGCUUCAACUGCCACCACUACAUCUUACUUUGUUGUUUCACUACACCAGCUUCAACAAAUACAUUCUCGUCUAAUUUUUUUCUAUUUCAACUUCCUCUUCAAAUUCAGGUUCCGCUUUUCCUUUCUUCACCGCUUCAUCAGGAUUUUCCUUCCCAAAAAGCACUCAAAGUUUAACACCAAUCUCUUCAACCAUCUCCUGCCACCUAAUCGCCUUUCUAAUCACCGCCGUCCUGCAAUCUCUAACUCCAGAAUCCAUGCCCGGCACAGAAUCCAACCUAUACAGCAAAUUCAUAAGCACUGCAAGGAAAGGGAUCGCAAGAGCAGAAACGGGGGUGUGAGGAGUUGCUACUAGGUUCUCAAUCAGAGGGGGAGUUUCUGGAUUCGACGUUACAGAGUAGGGGAGGGGCAAGUGCUGGAUUCUCGAUCAGGAAGGGGUAACGGGUUGCAAGGGCAUAAACGUGAAGAAGGAGGAGGGGCUGUUGUUUGGCUGGGUUCACGGUCAUGAGAGAGUGGAGAUGGGGUUUGUGUUAAGGGAGGGAAGACGUG
RNAcentral lists this unclassified non-coding RNA (820 nucleotides) under Hevea brasiliensis (rubber tree). Lineage: Eukaryota; Viridiplantae; Streptophyta; Magnoliopsida; Malpighiales; Euphorbiaceae. The record is from RNAcentral.